CUCUGAUUAACUUGGUGCUUCUCUAUUGGGAAGUUCUAGAAAGGACCAGGUUGAUGAAACUUCCUCUACUGGAUCUUUUCCAAAUGACUUUCAUCAUUUGUUAGAAGUGAAUUCUAGCUGAAACCUAGUCUUAUUGAAAAGGAAUAAAAAGCCGUUCAAGUUUCUGAUAAAGCAAAUGACAUUCUCCAACUUGUGCGCAGGAAGAUAACUCUGGUGGCUGUGUGAAGGAUGAACGGGCUGAUGGAGACACUGAAGGUGAGGCAGAUAAGGAGCUUCUUACAAAAGAUGGUGCCAAGCCAAACUAGGAUAAACACAGAAAGGGGAGGAGGUGAGAGAUAAAAGAAAUAUGGCAAAGAAUAAAAAUCACUAGCAGUUAGCUACUGAUCAAGGUGAGAGAGAGCGAGGCAGAGAAAUGAAGCCUGGAGGAGAAAGACAUGCAUGGAAAAGUUGCAGAGCAAGAAUAAAUUCUGUGAUGGUGUUACAGAUGCUCAUGAACCCUGCCCAGGUGCCCCAGCGAAGGGUGAACACCCACUAGGACCUGCUCAAAAGGCGGGGCUGAUACCUGCCUCAAACCAAAAGGGGAGAAGUGAGCCCACUGGCAUACCAACAUACGAAAAAGCACACAUUUGGAGUUAGUUGCCUGGGUUUGAGUACCUGCUUACCCUCCCUUCUCCCCACAAGCCUCAAGCAGCCCAGGGCAGGCUACUAACCCUACUGAAGCCAAAGCUUCCUGAUCUGAAAAUGAAGACAAUAUGCCCUGUAGCGCUGUUAGGAAAAUAAACAGUCGCAUGCAAGAUGGCACCUACUGCAGGCCUGGCAUAUAUCAGGGGCUGAACAAUUAGUAAGAGUUCUCAUCAGCCACACAAAUGUUCCUAUGCGGGGCUCAGAAAGAAUGCAUGACUUUCCCAAGGUGAUGCAGCAUAUUAGUAACAAAACCAGAACUCAGUGUCAGUUUGUCUGAAUUAUCUUCCCUGUAAGCUCUAUUUCCCAAAAAGCAAGAACAUGCGCCGCUUUCUCCUGCACAGCUUCACGUUCUCCGUGUCCUUAGCAUACUUUGUUUUCAGAUCCUGGUCAACAAACAAGGCAAAACACUAAAGACGACUUUCAUUCCCAAUAUGAAAACACUUUUCUGUUGAUACAGCGUCUUUUAUCAUUUUCCUUAGCCCACGUAACAACUUUUUUUGAAAUUCUGAAUGACACAAUUUACUGCAUUGUUUUUGUCAUCUAUUGUUACAAAAGGGCCCCAGAAUUUACUGGCUCAAAGGGACAAUUUGUUAUUUCCAUCAGUUCUGUACCUUGUCUGGGCUCAGAUGGAGGGUUCUCCUGCUCCACGUGGUACUGGCUGGGUCACUUUUGCGGCUACAUUCAUCUGAGAGCUCAAUCAGAAAGUGGAAAGCCCAAAAUGCCUUCACUCAUACAGCUGCUGCCGGAAUAGCCAGGGGCUGGCUGGGUCUCUCUCUCUCUUCACAUUCUUGGCUGUCUGGCCCAAGCUUCUUUACAAAGCAGCUGGGUCCCAAGGGGUGAAGCAGAAGUUUUCGGAGAGCUUCAGGCCAGGGCUCAAAGUCCAGAAGGUCACCUCCACAGCAUUACAUUGGUCAAAGCAAAUCCCAAGGCCAGGCCAGGUGCAAGGGGAGGGAAACAGACUCCACCUCUUGACAUACACACACUCCCACCAGGAAAGGGAGGAAUUGUCAGGAGGAAGUGUUGGUGGCCAUCUUUGAAAGCAUUUACCAAAACCAUUAUUUGUUGGGGCCAGCCCAGCAGCAUAGUGGUUAAGUUCAUGUGCUCUGCUUUUGUGGCCCUGGUUCACUGGUUCCAAUCACAGGUGCAGACCUAUGCCCUGCUCAUCAAGUCAUUCUGUGGCAGGCAUCCCACAUAUAAAGUAGACGAAGAUGGGCACAGAUGUUAUCUCAGGGCCACUCUCCCUCAGCAAAAAGAGGAGGAUUGGCGGCAGAUGUUAGCUCAGGGCCACUCUUCCUCAAAAAUAAAAAAGAAAGAAACAUUAUUUGUAAAAUCUGGGCUUCAGAGGCAAUAGUAAACUAUUUUGUUACAACUUUUUAGAAAGUAUCUCAUCCAUUGAUAAACUAAACUUGUUUUUUCUAAAUGUCUUUUACCCUUGAUUUCCCAGGAAGCAUAUAUUUGAGGAUCGUAGCAGGGUGGGUGUGGCCUUCAAAAAGAUGUCCAAAUCCCCAGAACCUGUGAACGACCUUAUUUGGAAAAAGUCUUUGCAGAUGUCAUUAAAUUAACAAUUUUGAGACAAGCUCAUUCUGGAUGUCCCAGGUGGGCCCUAAAUCCAACGACAAGUGUUCUUGGAAGAGACACAAGAGGAGAAAACACACAGCAGAGGAGGAGACGUGAAGACAGAGACAGAGAUCAGAGUGGCGUGGUCACAAGCCAAGGAAGCCAGGAACGUCCACAGCCAGCAGCAGCGGAAGCGGCAAAGGAUGCUCCCCCAGCCUCCAGAGGCAGUAUGGCCCUACACACGCAUUCAUUUCAGGCUUCUGCCCUCUAGAACCUGAGAGAAUAAAUUUUUCAUUUUAAGCCACCCCGUUUUCAGUAAUUUUUUACAGCAGCCACAGGAAACUAAAUACAAGGAUCGUCCCUCUUUAUACUUAAGACUAAACGUUUCACUCCCAUUUUAGGAUGGUGGUUUUUAGGGCAAUGGCUGUGACUCUUGGCUCCUGCUGUCCCCACCCACUCAGCAGAGACACGGAGGAAGGCCCCUUACCUGAAAACUCAGCCUUGUCCACGUCUUCAGCCACUCCUGACAGAAACACGUAGAACGCCAGAAGCCUCUGUUUCACCAGAUCCUUCUAGAAACAGUCUUGCUACUCAAAGUUCCCAGAGCCACAGCCCCUCCCUUCGCCCAUUUCCCGCAUCCACAGGAUGGGCCCAGGCUUCGGAUCACGGAGCUGAAGUUGCAGCGCCACGACCUAUGACCUUCGGUAACUUACAUAAAUUCUCAGAGCUGCAGUUUCGUUCUCGGUAAAAUCUGAAGAUAUUACCUUCCUCGUAGAGCUAUUUAAAGAACUAAAUAGGGGCCCGGGCUAUUACUGCGGAAGUUGUGGCAGGCUGGGAUGCUCCUCAAAAUCGCGGAGGGCGCCUGGGGCUACGAGCCAGGACUUACUCCUCGGCAAGGCAGUACUUCGCACAGGCGCCCUGUGAGAAGCUGGACUGCCCCUCUCGCCCACACAGGUGCCAGGUGAGCGGCUGGCAGGCUCCUCUCAUCCACGCAGGCACCCUGUGAGAGGUUCCGUGGCCCCUCUCGCCCACGCAGGCGCGCUGUAAGCGUCUCUGAGUCUCCUCUCUCCCACGCAGGCGCCCUGUGAGCCGCUCAGCGUCGUCUCUCAUUCACGCAGGCGCCCUCUGAGCUGCUCAGCUGCCCGUCUCACUCACGCAGGCGCAAACCCAGGUGGUCUACGUUGGCAGAGUUUCCUCGGCCGUCCGCACCGCAACUCCUGGAGCCCCGAGGCUGCCAGGCCCUUCACGUGCGAUCUCAGGCGUUGGUGAUGAUGGGCAGGGCCACCCUGCAGCGCACGUCUGACCCUGGCCGUGGUGAGGCCACGCCCGACGCCAACUACACAGUGUUCGACUUUGAUGCCUUCUGCCAGGCGCGCUACAGAAGCAGCCAGAGCAAGGAUGGUGCCGGAGAGCCCAGGCCUACCUCUGCUGGGGGGUAAAGGAACUGUUCUCCCCCUCGUCUUCCCACCCGCCCAUCUUAGCCAUGGACCUGCACAUCCCUCUCCUGCAGUCCAGAAGGGGAGGCUUUUCGCUGCCCAAGAAAGAGGCCCCAGGAUGAAAAGUCCAGAAAGCCAGAGAAUGAAAGGUUUUUCUGGAGUCCUUUGGGUGCCCGCUUCCAGAGGUUGCCUUCCUGGUUUUAUCGACUUAUGGAACACUUGGCUCUGGCUUUAAAGCUCUGAGCGAGAAUUGUCUGCUACGGCCCCACAUUUGUACUGAGGGGAUCCUCUGUAACCUUGAAACAUGCAAUGUGACCAAUUGUUGGCUGCCAAAGGAAAAAUUCUGGGUUUAUACGAGCCUCGUCUUUCUGUGACACCUAAGCCACAGAUGACAUGUGAUGUAGCAUAAGAAUGUGAUAUGUGGAAGCCUUGCCAUUCUGUCACCAGCCAUGGACUCUAACCUGCUUCUCUUGUCUUGCUUAAACUGUAACCUUUUGUGUUCAACAUAAUUCUUUUGUCUUCCUGAAGGGUGCAGAUGUUUCUUUCUCUAACGACUUUUGGAGUCUUGAGCUUAUGUGGUUUCAGCUAUGUUCCAGGAAGAAGCUCUAAGCAACAACUGACCUGGAUCCAACCACUCUGAACAGGACCACACUGUCCCAGACCACAGCCACAAGACUGACACCUGCACAGACAGGCAGAGUUGUACUAAAAUAACCUGCCCUCCUUAAUGUUUGGAAUUCUCCUCCUCUGGGAGGGGCAAAGCAGCCACUUUUAGAUCCUGUGAUGUGUGUAAAAGCAUGAUUUCAAACCACGUGUCCAAGCUUAUGCCCACUUCUACAUGUGAUGAUGAAACUUCCCCUUUGAAUAGUCAUUCCCUCUCCCAAAUAAAGGUACCCACGUCCCAGUGCUGGGGGAGCCAUUGCUUUGUGAAAUUAUUCUCUAUGGUCUCCAUUUUCUUUGCUGCAUGCCACAAAUAAAAUGUCUGCUUUGUGUGACAACUACUUCUGGUGUAGUUUAACUCCCAAGAAGGGGACUCAUGUUUGGUCUGGUAACAAUUCUUCCUUGGUCAGAGUCAGACCCCAUUCCCACUUCUGUUGGUGGCAUGUGGGAGUGAGAGAGCAUGGUCAUUGAGUAAGGAAUGAAUGUUCCUGUGCCCAUACUUAUCUAAUGUAUGACCUUGGAGAAGGUACUCUGUGGGCAUGACAGCAGAGGAGCAAAUCAUUUGCACUCUUGAGGUCUGUCACACUUUAUUAUCCAUAGUGCUAAUGGGCUGAGUGAUUAAAACAUUAUGCUAGUAGGGCCAGAUUCAUCCUUAGCACAGUGUGCCUACCAUCCGAUCAUCCCUUUACCAGCCAGCCCCAUUGCUAACUGUGUAGACCAUCCCCUCUCAGAAAUAGAGCAACAGACUGGGAGUUUGAGUCAUUUGAGUGUGGCCCAUCCUCCUAUUUAGGUUGCAGUGCUUUUGUAGGAUCCAGAAGCCAAGCCUUUGAAACACCGCUGCUUGAGGCUGUGGGGAGUUUGGGGAGUUUGGAGUAGAUGGGACUACUGAAGGACAGGAGGCACAUAGUGGAAACUCCGUAGCUUAUUCAGAGCUCGCUGAGGCUUUUCUUUUCUUUAUUUUUGUGGUAGGCAGUUGGUCAUCGCUUGCUAGAGCUGUAGUAGUCAGCUCUCUCAACCCUGAGUCACUGCACAUGGGGAGUGGCUUUGUUGUGAGAUUGUAG
This is a long non-coding RNA of Equus caballus (horse), 5398 nucleotides long. Lineage: Eukaryota; Metazoa; Chordata; Mammalia; Perissodactyla; Equidae. The record is from Ensembl.